RNAcentral lists this ribosomal RNA (406 nucleotides) under uncultured bacterium. Its description in RNAcentral is "partial 16S ribosomal RNA". It matches the Rfam family "Bacterial small subunit ribosomal RNA", at positions 30 to 526 of the family's 1533-position model. The record is from RNAcentral.
AUUGAACGCUGGCGGCAGGCCUAACACAUGCAAGUCGAACGAGUGGCGGACGGGUGCGUAAUGUCUCGGAACCUGCCUGAUGGAGGGGGAUAACUACUGGAAACGGUAGCUAAUACCGCAUACUAUCGGAUGUGCCCAGAUGGGAUUAGCUAGUAGGUGGGGUAAAGGCUCAACUAGGCGACGAUCCCUAGCUGGUUUGAGAGGAUGACCAGACACACUGGAACUGAGACACGUGCCAGACUCCUACGGGAGUCAGCAGUGGGGAAUAUUGGACAAUGGGCGCAAGCCUGAUGCAGCCAUGCCGCGUGUAUGAAGAAGGCCUUCGGGGUGUAAAGUACUUUAAGCAGGGAGGCGUUACCCGCAGAAGAAGCACCGGCUAACUCCGUGCCAGCAGCCGCGGUAAUUC